This 251-nucleotide ribosomal RNA is filed under the name uncultured prokaryote. RNAcentral describes it as "partial 16S ribosomal RNA". It matches the Rfam family "Bacterial small subunit ribosomal RNA", at positions 525 to 775 of the family's 1533-position model. The record is from RNAcentral.
ACGGAGGGCGCAAGCGUUAAUCGGAAUCACUGGGCGUAAAGCGCACGUAGGCGGCCAGAUAAGUCGGGCGUGAAAGCCCUCGGCUCAACCGAGGAAUUGCGUUCGAUACUGUUUGGCUUGAGUCCUGGAGAGGGUGGCGGAAUUCCGGGUGUAGGAGUGAAAUCCGUAGAUAUCCGGAGGAACACCGGUGGCGAAGGCGGCCACCUGGACAGGUACUGACGCUGAGGUGCGAAAGCGUGGGGAGCAAACAG